Molecule: ribosomal RNA, 458 nt
Filed under: Stenotrophomonas maltophilia
Lineage: Bacteria; Pseudomonadati; Pseudomonadota; Gammaproteobacteria; Lysobacterales; Lysobacteraceae
Description: bacterial SSU rRNA
Rfam family: Bacterial small subunit ribosomal RNA
Source: RNAcentral
GGAAACUUACGCUAAUACCGCAACUACCUACGGGUGAAAGCAGGGGACCUUCGGGCUUGCGCGAUUGAAUGAGCCGAUUCGGAUUAGCUAGUUGGCGGGGUAAAGGCCCACCAGGGCGACGAUCCGUAGCUGGUCUGAGAGGAUGAUCAGCCACACUGGAACUGAGACACGGUCCAGACUAAUACGGGAGGCAGCAGUGGGGAAUAUUGGACAAUGGGCGCAAGCCUGAUCCAGCCAUACCGCGUGGGUGAAGAAGGCCUUCGGGUUGUAAAGCCCUUUUGUUGGGAAAGAAAUCCAGCCGGCUAAUACCUGGUUGGGAUGACGGUACCCAAAGAAUAAGCACCGGCUAACUUCGUGCCAGCAGCCGCGGUAAUACGAAGGGUGCAAGCGUUACUCGGAAUUACUGGGCGUAAAGCGUGCGUAGGUGGUUGUUUAAGUCUGUUGUGAAAGCCCUGGGC